AUGGCUCAGGAUGAACGCUAGCGACAGGCCUAACACAUGCAAGUCGAGGGGCAUCGGGGCGAGGAGCAAUCCUUGCCGCCGGCGACCGGCGCACGGGUGAGUAACGCGUAUGCGACCUGCCCGUUGCAGGGGGAUAAUCGGGAGAAAUCCCGUCUAAUACCGCGUAAUGCCGCGGGGCUGCAUGGCCCUGCGGCCAAAGGGAGCGAUUCCGGCAACGGAUGGGCAUGCGUGACAUUAGCUAGUUGGCGGGGCAACGGCCCACCAAGGCGACGAUGUCUAGGGGUUCUGAGAGGAAGGUCCCCCACACUGGUACUGAGACACGGACCAGACUCCUACGGGAGGCAGCAGUGAGGAAUAUUGGUCAAUGGGCGCGAGCCUGAACCAGCCAAGUCGCGUGAGGGAUGACGGCCCUACGGGUUGUAAACCUCUUUUGUCGGGGAGCAAAUUCCGCCACGUGUGGCGGAGUCGAGAGUACCCGAAGAAAAAGCAUCGGCUAACUCCGUGCCAGCAGCCGCGGUAAUACGGAGGAUGCGAGCGUUAUCCGGAUUUAUUGGGUUUAAAGGGUGCGUAGGCGGACUGUCAAGUCAGCGGUAAAAUACGGGGGCUCAACCUCCGCCCGCCGUUGAAACUGACGGUCUUGAGUGGGCGAGAAGUAUGCGGAAUGCGUGGUGUAGCGGUGAAAUGCAUAGAUAUCACGCAGAACUCCGAUUGCGAAGGCAGCAUACCGGCGCCCGACUGACGCUGAAGCACGAAAGCGUGGGUAUCGAACAGGAUUAGAUACCCUGGUAGUCCACGCAGUAAACGAUGAAUACUAGCUGUCCGGGGCGAAUGAGCCCUGGGUGGCACAGCGAAAGCGUUAAGUAUUCCACCUGGGGAGUACGCCGGCAACGGUGAAACUCAAAGGAAUUGACGGGGGCCCGCACAAGCGGAGGAACAUGUGGUUUAAUUCGAUGAUACGCGAGGAACCUUACCCGGGCUCAAACGACACAGGAACGUACCUGAAAGGGUUCGGCUCUACGGAGCCUGUGUCGAGGUGCUGCAUGGUUGUCGUCAGCUCGUGCCGUGAGGUGUCGGCUUAAGUGCCAUAACGAGCGCAACCCCCAUCGACAGUUGCUAACAGGUCAGGCUGAGGACUCUGUCGAGACUGCCGGCGCAAGCUGCGAGGAAGGCGGGGAUGACGUCAAAUCAGCACGGCCCUUACGUCCGGGGCGACACACGUGUUACAAUGGCAGGUACAGCGGGAAGCCACCUGGCGACAGGGAGCGGAACCCGAAAGCCUGUCUCAGUUCGGAUUGGAGUCUGCAACCCGACUCCAUGAAGCUGGAUUCGCUAGUAAUCGCGCAUCAGCCACGGCGCGGUGAAUACGUUCCCGGGCCUUGUACACACCGCCCGUCAAGCCAUGGAAGCCGGGGGUGCCUGAAGUGCGCUGCCGCGAGGAGCGCCCUAGGGUAAAACCGGUGACUGGGGCUAAGUCGUAACAAGGUAACCGU
This 1490-nucleotide ribosomal RNA is filed under the name uncultured bacterium. Its description in RNAcentral is "partial 16S ribosomal RNA". It matches the Rfam family "Bacterial small subunit ribosomal RNA". The record is from RNAcentral.